GACGAACGCUGGCGGCGUGCUUAACACAUGCAAGUCGUGCGAGAAAGGGGACUUCGGUCCCUGAGUAGAGCGGCGCACGGGUGAGUAACGCGUGGAUUAUCUACCCAGACGUUCGGGAUAACGGCGGGAAACUGCCGCUAAUACCGGAUACGCUCCAAUUUCGGUUGGGGGAAAGGCGGCCUCUGCUUGCAAGCUGUCGCAUCUGGAUGAGUCCGCGUCCCAUUAGCUUGUUGGUGGGGUAAUGGCCUACCAAGGCUACGAUGGGUAGCUGGUCUGAGAGGAUGAUCAGCCACACUGGAACUGAAACACGGUCCAGACUCCUACGGGAGGCAGCAGUGGGGAAUAUUGCGCAAUGGGGGAAACCCUGACGCAGCGACGCCGUGUGAGGGAAGAAGGCUUUCGGGUCGUAAACCUCUGUCAGAAAGGAAGAACCUCCCGGAACCGAAUAGGCUCCGGGACUGACGGUACUUUCAAAGGAAGCACCGGCUAACUCCGUG
This 497-nucleotide ribosomal RNA is filed under the name uncultured organism. RNAcentral describes it as "bacterial SSU rRNA". It matches the Rfam family "Bacterial small subunit ribosomal RNA", at positions 28 to 507 of the family's 1533-position model. The record is from RNAcentral.